AUGUCCUUAAGUCACAGUUAAUUCAUUUAAUGCACACUUUAAGUGUCUACUGUCAGGCACUGUCCUAGAUGUGGGAGGUUCAGUAAAAAGAAACCCACAUAGUCACACAGCCUUUGUGGAGCUCACAUUUGAAUGUUGCAUCAAGUCGGGUUCACCUGAUGCAUUGUUCUUUACUUCAAGGUGCUUCCAGCUCCAUCAGGAGGAUUGGGUGGGUGUCCUGGGUCCAGAAGAAUGGAGACUACCAACCUCUUUGCUCCUAUUACAACCCUCCCUUGCCUGCACCACCCACUGCCCUUACUUUUGCAUUUGUUAUUCACAUCAUAGAAUUUAAAGCAAGUCACACCGUUUCUCACAUUACCUACAUUUUACUCAGACGUUCUAGUUCUCAUACACAUUCUCUUACAACCUUUUCCAGGGCUAACUCUAUGGAAUGAUUUUUGGUCUUUUUGUUUUGUCUUGUUUUGUUUUUGAGAGAGAGUCUUGCUCUGUCACCCAGGCAGUGGCAUGGUCUCAGCUCACUGUAAACUCCGCCUCCCAAGUUCAAGUGUUUCUCCUGGAUUCAAGCUAUUCAAGUGCCUCAGCCACCCGAGUUGCUGGAAUUACAGGCGUGCGCCACCAUGCCCAGCUAAUUUUUGUAUUUUUAGUAGAGACAGGGUUUCUCCAUGUUGCCCAGGCUGGUCUCGAACUCCUGGCCUCAAGUGAUCCGCCCACCUCAGCCCCCCAAAGUGCUGGGGUUACCGGCGUGAGCCACUGCACCUGGCCAAAUUUUGGUCUUAGUAAAACUUAUUCAUUUGUCCAGUAACUUUUCAUUUCAAAGACUGCCAUUUCCUAGUCUUGUCCCUGCUCAACAGCAACAGCACUUCACAUACAUCAACGUCUCCAGCACCUUUCAAAGCUGCGAGGUGGCUCUAGUAUUUUAGGGAAGGCCUCUGUCCUUAGGAAAACUGCAACCCAGGAGAGAUAAAGUGAUGCAGGCCUGGAGGCAGGGGACACCAGCAAGAGAAACACGGUUCUGCCCUGGAGCACAGGCUUUUGUUUUGAUACAGAAAACACUCAAACGUGGCUUGUGAUUUUUUCAAAUUACAAAUUGUGGGAUUCAAUUGGACCUCAGUGGGAACAGGCCACAGUCUAGAGAGAGGAUGAUCAGGUCUAUCAGUUAGCUCUGCUCUGACUUGCUGUGGUGUGGCUCAAUGCUCCUGUCUGUAAUGGGCUGGGGAGAAGGAAUAAGGAGCCACAUCCAUGGGGGAGCCGCAUCCAUGGGGGAGCCAAGAGAUGUCUUGGUAUUGCCUCCCACUCCUGUGUGGAAAGGGCAGGAAGGGGACCUCCAUUGCCUCUUGGCACUGAUGGCACCUCUAUCCUCUGCUCAACAGGGGAAACAGGUGCUGCAUUCCUUCACAGCUGUCUGCCAGGAUGAUGGCACGUGGCAUCGUGCCAUGCCCAGAUGCAAGAUCAAGGACUGUGGGCAGCCCCGAAACCUGCCUAAUGGUGACUUCCGUUAUACCACCACAAUGGGAGUGAACACCUACAAGGCCCGUAUCCAGUACUACUGCCAUGAGCCAUAUUACAAGAUGCAGACCAGAGCUGGCAGCAGGGAGUCUGAGCAAGGGGUGUACACCUGCACAGCACAGGGCAUUUGGAAGAAUGAACAGAAGGGAGAGAAGAUUCCUCGGUGCUUGCCAGUGUGUGGGAAGCCCGUGAACCCCGUGGAACAGAGGCAGCGCAUCAUCGGAGGGCAAAAAGCCAAGAUGGGCAACUUCCCCUGGCAGGUGUUCACCAACAUCCACGGGCGCGGGGGCGGGGCCCUGCUGGGCGACCGCUGGAUCCUCACAGCUGCCCACACCCUGUAUCCCAAGGAACACGAAGCGCAAAGCAACGCCUCUUUGGAUGUGUUCCUGGGCCACACAAAUGUGGAAGAGCUCAUGAAGCUAGGAAAUCACCCCAUCCGCAGGGUCAGCGUCCACCCGGACUACCGUCAGGAUGAGUCCUACAAUUUUGAGGGGGACAUCGCCCUGCUGGAGCUGGAAAAUAGUGUCACCCUGGGUCCCAACCUCCUCCCCAUCUGCCUCCCUGACAACGAGACCUUCUACGACCUGGGCUUGAUGGGCUAUGUCAGUGGCUUCGGGGUCAUGGAGGAGAAGAUUGCUCAUGACCUCAGGUUUGUCCGUCUGCCCGUAGCUAAUCCACAGGCCUGUGAGAACUGGCUCCGGGGAAAGAAUAGGAUGGAUGUGUUCUCUCAAAACAUGUUCUGUGCUGGACACCCAUCUCUAAAGCAGGACGCCUGCCAGGGGGAUAGUGGGGGCGUUUUUGCAGUAAGGGACCCGAACACUGAUCGCUGGGUGGCCACGGGCAUCGUGUCCUGGGGCAUCGGGUGCAGCAGGGGCUAUGGCUUCUACACCAAAGUGCUCAACUACGUGGACUGGAUCAAGAAAGAGAUGGAGGAGGAGGACUGAGCCCAGAAUUCACUAGGUUCGAAUCCAGAGAGCGGUGUGGAAAAAAAAAACAAAAAACAACUGACCAGUUGUUGAUAACCACUAAGAGUCUCUAUUAAAAUUACUGAUGCAG
RNAcentral lists this small RNA (2562 nucleotides) under Pan troglodytes (chimpanzee). Its description in RNAcentral is "retained intron". The record is from RNAcentral. Lineage: Eukaryota; Metazoa; Chordata; Mammalia; Primates; Hominidae.